CCUACGGGGGGCAGCAGUGGGGAAUAUUGGACAAUGGAGGGAACUCUGAUCCAGCAAUUCUGUGUGUGUGAAGAAGGUUUUAGGACUGUAAAACACUUUUAGUAGGGAAGAAAAAAAUGACGGUACCUACAGAAGAAGCAACGGCUAAAUACGUGCCAGCAGCCGCGGUAAUACGUAUGUUGCGAGCGUUAUCCGGAAUUAUUGGGCUUAAAGGGCAUCUAGGCGGUAAGACAAGUUGAAGGUGAAAACCUGUGGCUCAACCAUAGGCUUGCCUACAAAACUGUUGAACUAGAGUACUGGAAAGGUGGGUGGAACUACACGAGUAGAGGUGAAAUUCGUAGAUAUGUGUAGGAAUGCCGAUGAUGAAGAUAACUCACUGGACAGAAACUGACGCUGAAGUGCGAAAGCUAGGGGAGCAAACAGGAUUAGAUACCCUAGU
RNAcentral lists this ribosomal RNA (439 nucleotides) under uncultured Sneathia sp. RNAcentral describes it as "bacterial SSU rRNA". It matches the Rfam family "Bacterial small subunit ribosomal RNA", at positions 338 to 791 of the family's 1533-position model. The record is from RNAcentral. Lineage: Bacteria; Fusobacteriati; Fusobacteriota; Fusobacteriia; Fusobacteriales; Leptotrichiaceae.